Apis cerana (Asiatic honeybee) is the source of this 775-nucleotide long non-coding RNA. RefSeq lists it as uncharacterized. NCBI's taxonomy places the organism in Eukaryota, Metazoa, Arthropoda, Insecta, Hymenoptera, Apidae. The record is from RefSeq and is a predicted model, not a curated record.
AUCCGCUAGAACGAAAACGAUCGCGCGAGAGAUUCAUUGUUCCAAGUACGGAGCGACGUAAAAAGUGCACAGCCACCAAGGAGAUAUACAACGCACAGGUGUAGCGGGCAUUAACUGGUGCGCAGGGAGCCGGUUAUCCUGGUCCAUCUUCGAGACAGUUUCUUGUAACUCUUUGCGUCUAAAGUCUCCUUCCCCUCGAAAGAUUUUUAACCCGACAAUCCGUGGCGAAUGGGUUUCUGGCAUUCGAUACACCGUGACUAAUCGGGGAAGGUGUCCAAGGAAGUUCUUGGGAUAGGUUUCGACUGGUAGGUAGAUGAAAACUCCAAAGGGUUAAAAUACGUGAAGAUAUAUCUACACUUGAUUACCAGACCGAAUCGAUUUCGAUCCCAUCGUUGGAGUCGAUACAGAACCUUGUUUCGAUUAAAUCGGCCGAGUCAUCGCCGAUUCAUCGAUAAUCGAUCCUGGCCGUUUAUCUCGUCCCGUGACAACGAUGCGAUGGUUCCUUUUGAUCCAUUUAAAUAGUCUAAUUGUUUUUUUCUUCUCUGUAGUUUCUUUUUAGCGUUGAAUCAUAGUAUGAUGUUGAUCGUUGUUUGAGACUUUUUGUUGGUAGAGGAUUCGUUACAAUUCGGCUGCUAUUCAACGAAUAAUGCUUAUUCAUUCAUUUAUAUUUAUUAUCGUUCGUUUAAAUAUUUGAAGAGAAGAACAUAUUUAAAUAAUGUUAUAUUUAAAAAUUGUAUAUUUAAACUUGUUAAUAAUAAUAAUUAAAGGCAUAAUA